This 429-nucleotide ribosomal RNA is filed under the name uncultured bacterium. RNAcentral's name for it is "bacterial SSU rRNA". It matches the Rfam family "Bacterial small subunit ribosomal RNA", at positions 355 to 775 of the family's 1533-position model. The record is from RNAcentral.
UGAGGAAUUUUGCGCAAUGGGCGAAAGCCUGACGCAGCAACGCCGCGUGGACGAUGAAGGUCUUCGGAUCGUAAAGUCCUGUCGAGUGGGAAGAAAAAUGCUGGGGUGAAUAUCCCCGGCAUUCGACUGUACCACCAGAGGAAGCCCCGGCUAACUCCGUGCCAGCAGCCGCGGUAAUACGGAGGGGGCCAGCGUUGUUCGGAAUUAUUGGGCGUAAAGGGCGCGUAGGCGGCCGGAUAAGUCUGACGUGAAAUCCCUCGGCCUAACCGAGGAACUGCGUUUGAAACUGUUCGGCUCGAGUCCGGGAGAGGGUAGUGGAAUUCCCAGUGUAGCGGUGAAAUGCGUAGAUAUUGGGAGGAACACCGGUGGCGAAGGCGGCUACCUGGACCGGUACUGACGCUGAUGCGCGAAAGCCAGGGGAGCAAACAG